UGGGGAAUAUUGGACAAUGGGGGCAACCCUGAUCCAGCAAUACCGCGUGGGUGAAGAAGGCCUUCGGGUUGUAAAGCCCUUUAGGUGGGGAAGAAGGUUAUAGGUUGAUAACGCCUAUAAUUUGACGGUACCCACAGAAUAAGCACCGGCUAACUCUGUGCCAGCAGCCGCGGUAAUACAGAGGGUGCAAGCGUUAAUCGGAUUUAUUGGGCGUAAAGGGCGCGUAGGUGGUAAAGCAAGUAGGAUGUG
RNAcentral lists this ribosomal RNA (249 nucleotides) under uncultured Coxiellaceae bacterium. Its description in RNAcentral is "partial 16S ribosomal RNA". It matches the Rfam family "Bacterial small subunit ribosomal RNA", at positions 355 to 596 of the family's 1533-position model. The record is from RNAcentral. Lineage: Bacteria; Pseudomonadati; Pseudomonadota; Gammaproteobacteria; Legionellales; Coxiellaceae.